RNAcentral lists this ribosomal RNA (674 nucleotides) under uncultured bacterium. Its description in RNAcentral is "bacterial SSU rRNA". It matches the Rfam family "Bacterial small subunit ribosomal RNA", at positions 28 to 749 of the family's 1533-position model. The record is from RNAcentral.
GGUGAACGCUGGCGGCGUGGAUAAGGCAUGCAAGUCGAAUGGGUUUAGGCCCAUGGCAGACGAGGUAGUAACACGUGGGUACCUACCCUCAAGUCAGGGAUAUUCCAUCGAAAGAUGGCGCAAUACUUGAUAGUCUCUACGGAGUAAAGAUUUAUCGCUUGAGGAGGGGCCUGCGUAAUAUCAGCUAGUUGGUAGGGUAAUGGCCUACCAAGGCUAUGACGUUUAGGGGAGCUGAGAGGCUGACCCCCACCGAGGGAACUGAGACACGGUCCCUACUUCUACGGAGGGCAGCAGCCGAGAAUAUUCGACAAUGGACGAAAGUCUGAUCGAGUGACGCCGCGUGGUGGAUGAAGUCCUUCGGGACGUAAACACCUUUUAUAGGGGAUGAAGUUUUGACAGUACCCUAGGAAUAAGGGGCUCCUAACUCUGUGCCAGCAGGAGCGGUAAUACAGAGGCCCCAAGCGUUACCCGGAAUCACUGGGCGUAAAGGAUGUGUAGGUGGUUGUAUUAGUCAAUUGUGAAAUCUUUCGGCUCAACCGAAAGGAUGCCGAUUGAAACGGUACAACUUGAGGACGUAAGAGGUAUGCGGAACUCACGGUGUAGGGGUAAAAUCCGUUGAUAUCGUGGGGAACACCAUAGGCGAAGGCGGCAUACUGGGACGUUCCUGACACUGA